CAGUAGCCGCGGUAAUACGAAGGGUGCAAGCGUUACUCGGAAUUACUGGGCGUAAAGCGUGCGUAGGUGGUGGUUUAAGUCCGUUGUGAAAGCCCUGGCUCAACCUGGGAAUUGCAGUGGAUACUGGGUCACUAGAGUGUGGUAGAGGAUAGUGGAAUUUCCGGUGUAGCAGUGAAAUGCGUAGAGAUCGGAGGGAACAUCUGUGGCGAAGGCGACUAUCUGGGCCAACACUGACACUGAGGCACGAAAGCGUGGGGAGCAAACAGGAUUAGAUACCCGAGUAGUCCCUGUCUCUUAUACC
RNAcentral lists this ribosomal RNA (301 nucleotides) under uncultured bacterium. RNAcentral's name for it is "partial 16S ribosomal RNA". It matches the Rfam family "Bacterial small subunit ribosomal RNA", at positions 509 to 808 of the family's 1533-position model. The record is from RNAcentral.